UAUAAGCCGAGUGCCAAAUCUGAGGUAUUGUGGUUUGCAGGUAUUCAAAUGUAUGCGUACACACCCCAGGUAUUCGAGUAUUCAAAUGUAUAUGUAUACACCCCGGCUACAAACGCCCACACAUACAUAGUAAUCAAUCGAGUGGAUCGAUUAGCUAGCUAUAUACAUACUACUAGUGGUCUAGUACACAUGAGAGUAGAUCGAGCGGCUCGAUUAGCUAGAUAGAGGCUAGCUUUGCUUGCUGGUGGAUCGAUGCGGCCGUGCUGGAGCACUCACCCGCCGGCGAGGAGGAGCACUGCAUCGAGCUGAGCAUGGACGGGUAGCUUCUGCUGCCGCGAGCUGCUGCUGCUUGCUCCGUUGACUGCUUCUCUUUGAGGAGGCUGCGGCACUUCGGCGUAGGCGGCGGCGGCGUGGAGUGGAGAAGGAGUGGACAGAGAGGAGGGAGAGCCGGUAGCCAUUGAG
This 462-nucleotide long non-coding RNA is filed under the name Triticum aestivum (bread wheat). RNAcentral describes it as "long non-coding RNA (TAES_LNC015611)". Lineage: Eukaryota; Viridiplantae; Streptophyta; Magnoliopsida; Poales; Poaceae. The record is from RNAcentral.